This is a long non-coding RNA of Formica exsecta, 273 nucleotides long. RefSeq lists it as uncharacterized. The record is from RefSeq and is a predicted model, not a curated record. NCBI's taxonomy places the organism in Eukaryota, Metazoa, Arthropoda, Insecta, Hymenoptera, Formicidae. The transcript is spliced from 2 exons.
UGAUCAUCUGAAAUCAUAUGGAAGUUUGGCGGACCCGAAUAUUAUUUAGUCGAUGACCAAGGAAAAAUCGCUAGACAGCCAUAUUAUGUAGAGGCAGACCGUGACUUUAGACAUCAAAUGUCUUCUAUUCAUCAGGCUUCGUUAUUACAAUAUUAUGCAUCGCCGUGAUAGUAUAUUCUCGUGUCGAUGAUAAGUGCUCACAAUUUGAAGUCGCGUGUGAGUUAAUUUUGUCGCUAGCGCUGUUGGAUAACGCGCCGAAAAAAAAAAAACUAU